GACGAACGCUGGCGGCGUGCUUAACACAUGCAAGUCGAACGCAAAGGCCCUGCUUUUGUGGGGUGCUCGAGUGGCGAACGGGUGAGUAACACGUGAGUAACCUGCCCUUGACUUUGGGAUAACUUCAGGAAACUGGGGCUAAUACCGGAUAGGAGCUCCUGCUGCAUGGUGGGGGUUGGAAAGUCUCGGCGGUUGGGGAUGGACUCGCGGCUUAUCAGCUUGUUGGUGGGGUAGUGGCAUACCAAGGCUUUGACGGGUAGCCGGCCUGAGAGGGUGACCGGGCUCAAUGGGACUGAGAUACGGCCCAGUCGCCUACGGGAGGCAGCAGGGGGGAAUAUUGCACAAUGGGCGGAAGCCGGAUGCAGCAACGCCGCGGGCGUGAUGACGGCCUGCGGGUUGUAAACCGCUUUCGCCUGUGACGAAGCGGGAGUGACGGUAAUGGGUAAAGAAGCACCGGCUAACUACGUG
Molecule: ribosomal RNA, 468 nt
Filed under: uncultured bacterium
Lineage: Bacteria
Description: partial 16S ribosomal RNA
Rfam family: Bacterial small subunit ribosomal RNA
Source: RNAcentral